GCAGUGGUGCAAUGGGUCAGUGUGUCUGGCUGCUAAACAGAAGGUUGGUGGUUCGAGCCCACCCAGGGACA
This 71-nucleotide transfer RNA is filed under the name Podarcis lilfordi (Lilford's wall lizard). RNAcentral's name for it is "tRNA.Ser". The stretch from base 4 to 64 matches the Rfam family "tRNA", at positions 7 to 64 of the family's 71-position model. From Rfam's summary of the family: Transfer RNA (tRNA) molecules are approximately 80 nucleotides in length. Their secondary structure includes four short double-helical elements and three loops (D, anti-codon, and T loops). Further hydrogen bonds mediate the characteristic L-shaped molecular structure. tRNAs have two regions of fundamental functional importance: the anti-codon, which is responsible for specific mRNA codon recognition, and the 3' end, to which the tRNAs corresponding amino acid is attached (by aminoacyl-tRNA synthetases). tRNAs cope with the degeneracy of the genetic code in two manners: having more than one tRNA (with a specific anti-codon) for a particular amino acid; and 'wobble' base-pairing, i.e. permitting non-standard base-pairing at the 3rd anti-codon position. The record is from RNAcentral. Lineage: Eukaryota; Metazoa; Chordata; Lepidosauria; Squamata; Lacertidae.